This 393-nucleotide ribosomal RNA is filed under the name Triticum aestivum (bread wheat). RNAcentral's name for it is "partial small subunit ribosomal RNA". Lineage: Eukaryota; Viridiplantae; Streptophyta; Magnoliopsida; Poales; Poaceae. The record is from RNAcentral.
AUGCGGUACCGCCAGCGCUCGAGGCGGCCCUUGCGAGCGUGUAACGCCCGAGACCGAUGUGCCAGGUGUCGUUCAGUUAUUCGCUGGCGUUGCCUUGUCAUUGCUUGCGUGUCAUGCAUUGCAUAUCAUGUCAUCAUGCGCAUUUCAUUGCAUACGUGUUCGUCUCGCGCAUCCGAGCAUUUUCCCCGUUAUCCGUUUUGCAUUCCGGCGCUUCGUUCUCCUCCGGUGGUCAUUUCUACCUUCCUUUCGUGUGUGGGCAUUAAACAUUUCCGGAUUGGACCGAGACUUGUCUUGCGGCCUUGGUUUACUACCGGUAGACCGCCUGUCAAGUUUCGUAUCAUUUGGACUUCGUUUGAUACUCCAACGGUUAACCGAGGGACCGAAAAGGCCUAG